UUCUUUCAUCUCACACCAAAUAAUUUCCUAAAUCACACACAAUCAUUCUCUCAUCUUCUCUCAAACCCCCCUUAAAAUAUGAAUGAGUUUUCAUCUUUAAGUAGGAUUGGUAUCAAAAAUCCUUUUUCUUUGAUUUGAUUUUGUAGAUUAUAAACCCUAACUGUAUUGAUUUCAUCUUCUCAGCCAUUCCAUUGAGAAACCUUAAUCUGAGUUUCAUCUCUGCCUCUUGAUUAUAUAUUUCGACGAAAAUCCUAACCAGAGCCACCAUCACGCGACUGACAAAGAACUUGAACACUAUGACUUUCAUGGGUGGUGAUUUCCACGGGGGAGAAAAAAAUAGGAAUAGCAAUAUGGAUCAUUUAAAGUUCUUACUUAAUUUGAUAAAUAGAGGUGUUGCUUUGCAAGAAUCACUUUGAAAAUAGAAAUUUUAUUGUUUUUCUGACUUGCAAUAAUCACUUUGUAAAAUAGAGGUGUUGCUUUGCAAGAAUCUCACAGUCACGGGUGGUUGUUGGGUAUGUAUUUAAUUUGAUAAAUAUAUAAACUAUUCAGAUGAAGAUUUUUAUAUUUUCUGAUCAUUAGGUUUCCAGUCGUGCUUAUUUCUUCUCGAUUUGGCGCCCAGGUAACUAACUGUACAUAUGUACAAGUUAUCUUUGUUAUGGAUAUAAAAGAUUAUCGCAUCUUAUGAUAAUAACAUAUGAAGUUUUGUUAUAAAUUAAUUACCGGUUUCUCCUUAGUGACUUAGAAGAAGUCGAGCAGGUGAAUUUUCAACUGACGUUAAUACAUUUUGUCACUGAGUCCUUAACUAGAACCGGAUAAGCAUGUGGGGUAUGAUCCAUCAGCAUAUGGUAUCCGUUCUUGCAGCAGAACAUGGAACAUAAUUGUUUAAAAAGUUGAUGUAAAACAAAAAUCAGAGACUAAAGGUACAUAAUUUGUAUUUUCAUUCGUGUAAUUUUAGUUUCAGACAUGGGUUGGACUAUACGUACACCAUUGGCAUACUAACCACACACCACCGACACAUCAUAGUGGGCGUAUAAGGGGUUAUAGGGGGUCGUAUGAGUGUUAAUAGUGGCUAAUCAUACUAGCCGUAAUGUUUAUACGUGUUGUAUGAGUUGGUGUCCUUUCAAAUCAUAUGGGCUAUAUGAUGUCCUAGACUGACAAAAAAGCGACGAAAUAUGCAUGACCUUUUUUCGCCAGUUAAAUGGCCCAUAUGAUGAUUUGGGGUGGUGUACGUAUAACAACACCCUUCAUAAUUGUGUUUGUAAAAUCGAACUAUUUCAUCGAACUACUUAGUUUAUAUAUGACUUAUACAAGUGGCCCAACUUAUGACCAUUUCGAGCGAGGUGAUAUAUGAAUGGGGAGGUAUGUGUUAUUUGAUCAUACUAUAACUUGGCAGUUGGGGUAUUUUGAAGAAUAGUCAACAUAUAUUUGAUGGUGGUAACAUAUAUUUCAUUUAGCUUUUAUGGUUAACACUAGGUUAUCACCCGGGUGCUACCCGGGUUGGAGAAAACUAUUAAGAAAAAUAUCAAGUGUAUAAAUAAAAUAAAAAACAAAGUCUGAUGUUGCAUAAAUUAGUGAUAGAGGGGAUAUACAAUUUAAAGAUAGUCGAGUCCCUUUGAAGAUUCAUAUCCUUCGAGUUACCAAAAUCUUUCUCUUAGUAAAUUAAGUUCCCUCUAAAAAACAACCAAAUUAUAAGUGUUAUAUACGUUUGUGUUUUUUUAGUAAGACUUUAACUUUCUU
Molecule: long non-coding RNA, 1737 nt
Filed under: Helianthus annuus (common sunflower)
Lineage: Eukaryota; Viridiplantae; Streptophyta; Magnoliopsida; Asterales; Asteraceae
Description: hypothetical non coding rna
Source: RNAcentral